UACGAAGGGAGCUAGCGUUGUUCGGAAUCACUGGGCGUAAAGCGCACGUAGGCGGAUGUGUCAGUCAGGGGUGAAAUCCCGGAGCUCAACUUCGGAACUGCCUUUGAUACAGCACGUCUUGAGUCCGAUAGAGGUGGGUGGAAUUCCUAGUGUAGAGGUGAAAUUCGUAGAUAUUAGGAAGAACACCGGUGGCGAAGGCGGCCCACUGGAUCGGUACUGACGCUGAGGUGCGAAAGUGUGGGGAGCGAACAGG
Molecule: ribosomal RNA, 253 nt
Filed under: uncultured bacterium
Lineage: Bacteria
Description: partial 16S ribosomal RNA
Rfam family: Bacterial small subunit ribosomal RNA
Source: RNAcentral